UGGGGAAUAUUGGACAAUGGGCGAAAGCCUGAUCCAGCCAUGCCGCGUGUGUGAAGAAGGUCUUCGGAUUGUAAAGCACUUUAAGUUGGGAGGAAGGGCAGUAAGCGAAUACCUUGCUGUUUUGACGUUACCGACAGAAUAAGCACCGGCUAACUCUGUGCCAGCAGCCGCGGUAAUACAGAGGGUGCAAGCGUUAAUCGGAAUUACUGGGCGUAAAGCGCGCGUAGGUGGUUCGUUAAGUUGAAUGUGAAAGCCCCGGGCUCAACCUGGGAACUGCAUCCAAAACUGGCGAGCAGAGUAGGGCAGAGGGUGGUGGAAUUUCCUGUGUAGCGGUGAAAUGCGUAGAUAUAGGAAGGAACACCAGUGGCGAAGGCGACCACCUGGGCUCAUACUGACACUGAGGUGCGAAAGCGUGGGGAGCAAACAGG
This 428-nucleotide ribosomal RNA is filed under the name Pseudomonadota bacterium. Its description in RNAcentral is "Proteobacteria bacterium partial 16S ribosomal RNA". It matches the Rfam family "Bacterial small subunit ribosomal RNA", at positions 355 to 776 of the family's 1533-position model. Lineage: Bacteria; Pseudomonadati; Pseudomonadota. The record is from RNAcentral.